GAUGAACGCUGGCGGCGUGCCUAAUACAUGCAAGUCGAGCGAACAGAUAAGGAGCUUGCUCCUUUGACGUUAGCGGCGGACGGGUGAGUAACACGUGGGUAACCUACCUAUAAGACUGGGAUAACUUCGGGAAACCGGAGCUAAUACCGGAUAACAUUUGGAACCGCAUGGUUCUAAAGUGAAAGAUGGUUUUGCUAUCACUUAUAGAUGGACCCGCGCCGUAUUAGCUAGUUGGUAAGGUAACGGCUUACCAAGGCAACGAUACGUAGCCGACCUGAGAGGGGGGUCGGCCACACGGGAACUGAGACACGGUCCCGACUCCUACGGGAGGCAGCAGUAGGGAAUCUUCCGCAAUGGGCGGAAGCCUGACGGAACAACGCCGCGUGAGGUGUGGAGGGGUUCGGCUCGGUAAACUCUGUUAUUAGGGAAAAACAAACGUUGAAGGAACUGUGCACGGCUUGACGGUACCUAAUCAGAAAGCCACGGCUAACUACGUG
This 497-nucleotide ribosomal RNA is filed under the name uncultured bacterium. RNAcentral describes it as "partial 16S ribosomal RNA". It matches the Rfam family "Bacterial small subunit ribosomal RNA", at positions 28 to 507 of the family's 1533-position model. The record is from RNAcentral.